RNAcentral lists this ribosomal RNA (284 nucleotides) under uncultured Glomus. RNAcentral describes it as "partial small subunit ribosomal RNA". It matches the Rfam family "Eukaryotic small subunit ribosomal RNA", at positions 571 to 868 of the family's 1831-position model. The record is from RNAcentral. Lineage: Eukaryota; Fungi; Glomeromycota; Glomeromycetes; Glomerales; Glomeraceae.
AGCAGCCGCGGUAAUUCCAGCUCCAAUAGCGUAUAUUAAAGUUGUUGCAGUUAAAAAGCUCGUAGUUGAAUUUCGGGGUUAGUAGGUUGGUCAUGCCUCUGGUAUGUACUGGUCUCACUGAUUCCUCCUUCCUGAUGAACCUUAAUGCCAUUAAUUUGGUGUUKYGGGGAAUUUGGACUGUUACUUUGAAAAAAUUAGAGUGUUUAAAGCAAGCUAACGCUUGAAUACAUUAGCAUGGAAUAAUGAAAUAGGACGUUCGAUCCUAUUUUGUUGGUUUCUAGGAU